Long non-coding RNA from Brassica napus (rape), 968 nucleotides. RefSeq lists it as uncharacterized. Lineage: Eukaryota; Viridiplantae; Streptophyta; Magnoliopsida; Brassicales; Brassicaceae. The transcript has 2 exons. The record is from RefSeq and is a predicted model, not a curated record.
AGUAAUGAAGGGUAAAAAUGUAAUCAGCUAACAUUUCGAAUUAAAAAUAAUUCAAAAAGAAAAUAAUAUUUAGGAAGGUCAUUGAGAGAUUAGACUUCAGAAAAUAGGGAUAAGAGAGGCGUGGUCUCAAUUUCCUUUGGUGUUGUAUUACCAGAUUGAUGUUAAAUUAUUUAGAGUAUUUAGGUCUCAUAUACCUACAAUAAACUAUAAUUAAGAGAAUACCCUUUCAGGGUAGUUGACACUGUUGACAAUGAUGUCAACCCGGGUCUGAUUUGUCAAUUUUUUCUUGUUCUAUGGGAGAUGGAGAUCGAAGAGGGGAAGUUGAGAACUGUGAGGCAUACGUAGCAAGUCUCAAAGCUUCAUGUGUGAGUAUAGAUAACCCUUGUUUCUCUCUUUAUCAUCAAAUCUAACUAUAUCCAAGAGAGUGAGAGACUAAUUAGCGAAUGAUAAUAUGAUCUAUUUUGUCAAAAAACACCACUAGCAUCCUGGUGGUGUCUUUGUUCAUCCAUAUGGUGCUGAAAAAUCUCUCAGAGACACCAUUGAUGAGCUUGGGAAGAACCAUGGAGACAAAAAGGACAAGAAGUUUCCGAUUUGGACUGAUCAGGUUCUGGCAACAGAGGCUACUCCUAGGACUUGGAUAGUAAAGCUUAAUAAAUGGGAACAAACUGGUAACUAAAAGUAUUAGUAUGCUACAUAAAAGUGAACUAUUACCUUCCAUAAUUGUGGAUAUAUAUCCAAGGGAAUUAAAGGAAAUGCUGCACAACAACUGUCAAAUUCACCUCAAAGGAAAAAUUAAGGAUUGUGUGAGAAAAUGAGCAGCAAACAUGGUCGGAGGAAUCAAGAUGAAAGAUGAUAGCAACCGGAUCCUCUAAUGAUUAUCCUCCUUUUAUUUUUAUUUUGUUUCAUAAGACACUGCAAACACACACAAAAAUCAUAUUAUUUGGUUGAGUAAAACUUAAAUCUCAGAA